RNAcentral lists this ribosomal RNA (458 nucleotides) under uncultured bacterium. RNAcentral's name for it is "bacterial SSU rRNA". It matches the Rfam family "Bacterial small subunit ribosomal RNA", at positions 340 to 786 of the family's 1533-position model. The record is from RNAcentral.
UACGGAAGGCAGCAGUGGGGAAUAUUGCACAAUGGGCGAAAGCCUGAUGCAGCUAUGCCGCGUGUAUGAAGAAGGCCUUAGGGUUGUAAAGUACUUUCAGCAGGGAGGAAAGAAAUAAAACUAAUAAUUUUAUUUUGUGACGUUACCUGAAGAAGAAGCACCGGCUAACUCCGUGCCAGCAGCCGCGGUAAUACGGAGGGUGCAAGCGUUAAUCAGAAUUACUGGGUGUAAAGAGCGCGUAGGUGGUUUUUUUAAGUCAGAUGUGAAAUCCCUAGGCUUAACCUAGGAACUGCAUUUUGAAACUGAAAAACUAGAGUAUCGUAGAGGGAGGUAGAAUUCUAGGUGUAGCGGUGAAAUGCGUAGAUAUCUGGAGGAAUACCUGUGGCGAAAGCGGCCUCCUAAACGAAUACUGACACUGAGGUGCGAAAGCGGUGGGGAGCAAACAGGGAUUAGAUACC